RNAcentral lists this ribosomal RNA (490 nucleotides) under uncultured bacterium. RNAcentral's name for it is "partial 16S ribosomal RNA". It matches the Rfam family "Bacterial small subunit ribosomal RNA", at positions 30 to 507 of the family's 1533-position model. The record is from RNAcentral.
AUCGAACGCUGGCGGCAGGCCUAACACACGCAAGUCGAACGGUAACACCCAGCAGCUUGCUGCUUCGCUGACGGGUGGCGGACGGGUGAGUAGUGUCUGAGCAACUGCCUGCUGGAGGGGGACAACUACUGGCAACGGUAGAUAAUACCGCAUAACGUCGCCAGACCAAAGGGGGGGGCCUUAGUGCCUCUUGCGAGCAGAUGUUCCCAGAUGGGAUUAGCUAGUGUGUGGGGUAACGGCUCCCCUGGGCGACGAUCCCUAGCUGGUCUGAGAGGAUGACCAGCCACACUGGAACUUAGACACGGUCCAGACGCCUACGGGAGGCAGCAGUGGGGAAUAUUGCACAAUGGGCGCAAGCCUGAUGCAGCCAUGCCGCGUGUAUGAAGAAGGCCUUCGGGUUGUAAAGUACUUUCAGCGGGGAGGAAGGGAGUAAAGUUAAUACCUUUGCUCAUUGACGUUACCCGCAGAAGAAGCACCGGCUAACUCCGUG